RNAcentral lists this ribosomal RNA (465 nucleotides) under uncultured bacterium. RNAcentral describes it as "bacterial SSU rRNA". It matches the Rfam family "Bacterial small subunit ribosomal RNA", at positions 330 to 792 of the family's 1533-position model. The record is from RNAcentral.
GCCAGACUCCUACGGGAGGCAGCAGUGAGGAAUAUUGGUCAAUGGGCGGGAGCCUGAACCAGCCAAGUCGCGUGAGGGAUGACGGCCCUAUGGGUUGUAAACCUCUUUUGCCGGGGAGCAAAGUGCCGCACGUGUGCGGUUUGGAGAGUACCCGGAGAAAAAGCAUCGGCUAACUACGUGCCAGCAGCCGCGGUAAUACGUAGGGGGCAAGCGUUAUCCGGAUUUACUGGGUGUAAAGGGAGCGUAGACGGCAGCACAAGUCUGGAGUGAAAUGCCGGGGCUUAACCCCGGAACUGCUUUGGAAACUGUGCAGCUAGAGUGCAGGAGAGGUAAGUGGAAUUCCUAGUGUAGCGGUGAAAUGCGUAGAUAUUAGGAGGAACACCAGUGGCGAAGGCGGCUUACUGGACGAUGACUGACGCUGAGGCUCGAAAGCGUGGGGAGCAAACAGGAUUAGAUACCCCCGUA